GGUGUUAUAGCCAAGUGGUUACGGCGACAGAUUAGAAUUUUCUGCUUACGUAAGCACUUUAAAAAGAAUUCAUCUGUUGGGGUUCCCCCGCGUAGGUUCGAAUCCUGCUAACAUCG
This 116-nucleotide transfer RNA is filed under the name Auriscalpium vulgare. RNAcentral describes it as "tRNA-Ser". It matches the Rfam family "tRNA". From Rfam's summary of the family: Transfer RNA (tRNA) molecules are approximately 80 nucleotides in length. Their secondary structure includes four short double-helical elements and three loops (D, anti-codon, and T loops). Further hydrogen bonds mediate the characteristic L-shaped molecular structure. tRNAs have two regions of fundamental functional importance: the anti-codon, which is responsible for specific mRNA codon recognition, and the 3' end, to which the tRNAs corresponding amino acid is attached (by aminoacyl-tRNA synthetases). tRNAs cope with the degeneracy of the genetic code in two manners: having more than one tRNA (with a specific anti-codon) for a particular amino acid; and 'wobble' base-pairing, i.e. permitting non-standard base-pairing at the 3rd anti-codon position. The record is from RNAcentral. Lineage: Eukaryota; Fungi; Basidiomycota; Agaricomycetes; Russulales; Auriscalpiaceae.